RNAcentral lists this ribosomal RNA (1044 nucleotides) under Dasypops schirchi (Rio Mutum frog). RNAcentral's name for it is "partial 16S ribosomal RNA". It matches the Rfam family "Bacterial large subunit ribosomal RNA", at positions 855 to 2597 of the family's 2925-position model. The record is from RNAcentral. Lineage: Eukaryota; Metazoa; Chordata; Amphibia; Anura; Microhylidae.
AUUCAGGAAAAGGAUAUUAGUCCUACCUUAAACCAUUUUUUUAAAGAAAAAUAUUAACCUAAGUUUAAGAGCUAUUCAAAUAAGGUACAGCCUAUUUGAAACAGGAAACAACCUAAAAUACAGGGUAAUUAUUUUUAAGACAUGUGACCAAGUGGGCCUAAAAGCAGCCAACUUUAAAAAAGCGUUAAAGCUUCAUCACCAAGUCACCUAAUUCCACUAACUUCAUAAAACCCUAACUUAAUACUGAAUGACUCUAUUUUCCAUAGAGAACAUCAUGCUAGAACUAGUAACAAGAAGAAGCCCUUCUCCUAAAUGUAAGCAUAAGCCAAAAAGAACAACUCACUGGCACUUAACGUAUAUGACCCGAUAGUAAUAACUCACAAGAAAACCCUACUUAUCAAAACGUCAACCUUACACCAGCACAUUUAAGGAAAGAUUAAAAAUAGAGGAAGGGACUCGGCAAAUCCUUGUCCCCGCCUGUUUACCAAAUGCAUCGCCUCCUGCAUAACAUAGGAGGUCCAGCCUGCCCAGUGACAAAGUUUAACGGCCGCGGUACCCUAACCGUGCGAAGGUAGCGCAAUCACUUGUUCUUUAAAUGGGGACUAGUAUGAAAGGCAUCACGAGGGUCUCACUGUCUCCCUCUUUCAAUCAGUGAAACUGAUCUCCCCGUGAAGAAGCGGGGAUAAAACUAUAAGACGAGAAGACCCCAUGGAGCUUUAAACUCAAUAUUAACUGCCAAAGUACACACCAAGUCAAACAGGCAGAACUAACUAUUAGUUUUCGGUUGGGGUGACCACGGAGCAAAAUAAAACCUCCAUGAUGAAUGACUUACUCUAAUCUAAGAGCCACAGCUCAAAGAAUCAAUAAAUUGACAUAAUUUGAUCCAAAUAUUUUGAUCAACGAACCAAGUUACCCUGGGGAUAACAGCGCAAUCCAUUUCAAGAGCUCCUAUCGACAAAUGGGUUUACGACCUCGAUGUUGGAUCAGGGUAUCCUAGUGGUGCAGCCGCUACUAAAGGUUCGUUUGUUCAACGAUUAAAACCCU